Molecule: non-coding RNA, 510 nt
Organism: Meleagris gallopavo (turkey)
Lineage: Eukaryota; Metazoa; Chordata; Aves; Galliformes; Phasianidae
Source: RefSeq, a predicted model, not a curated record
UUUACGCUUGGCCCUGGGCCUUCAGUCUACUUGGUUGCUGUGGGACUGGGUCUUGGCUGGUGAGGUCCCUGCCCUGCCUAUGAAUGUUGUGCUCAGCUCCCGACUCCUCAUCUCUUAGGGAGCAACUGGUUUGUGCUUCUUUCUGACGGAUUUGGGGUCUGCGCGGUUGUGCAACUCUGAGUUUGUGUAGUUCCUACCUGGAUGUAAUUGUUUUGGCCUUGCACAUAGAACAGUCUGUCAGUUUGCAACCCCAAAACUCCUGUAGGAGACCUAGAGAAUGCACUGCAUGUCAAGGGGAAGACUGAAUGGAUGAAGUACUCUGGAAUGGUAGAGCAGAAGGAAAGCACAUCUUCUAACCACUCUGAUUAUCCCCUGCUGCUGCUUGGCAUCCACACAUGCUGCAAGAGAAAAGCCAGACCUGGAAGCAAUCUGCUGAGAGUUUCAAAUUCUCUCUGUUUCUCUCUUCCAGUCCAUUAGGCCAGAAAGGGAAUGGCAGUCAACAAGUUUUUC